This 343-nucleotide unclassified non-coding RNA is filed under the name Hevea brasiliensis (rubber tree). The record is from RNAcentral. Lineage: Eukaryota; Viridiplantae; Streptophyta; Magnoliopsida; Malpighiales; Euphorbiaceae.
UUACUCCUAUUUUAUCUAGGUUUCCUAAAGGACUUUGAUUUGUUUUAACUUGCUAUUUAGUAGGGAUCUUUUCCUAUUGCAUUUAGGAGUUCAAGAACUCCAUAAAUACCACAGAUUUUAGGUAUUUUCAGGGCAGAUUUUUGUUAAUAAAAUUUACAGCAGAGAAUUUCUCUCAAUUUUCAGUGUGUGUUCUUCUUUGAGCUUCAUGCUGCGUCAAAGAUAAAAUUGUCAAACAGGCUUUCUUAAUGCCCAGCAGUGUAGUCAAAAGUGUAAAAAGCGCUUGCUAAAGCCUAAAAGCGCAGCAAUAAAUAGGAAAGCGCUUUUACAUAUGCUAAGCAAAGCA